UUUAACUGUCAAAUUACCGAGGAUAUUUACAAACGUUCGUCACCGCUAUGCAGUUACAAAACAUUUCAGUAUUAACGAAGAUGAAUCGACUCUGGUUCGAUGAUAAUGAAACCGGCUACGACAUCGGCGGAACUCGGAAUACGCUGCGAAUUGUUUUAAUUAAAAAGGGGGCUUCCGGUGAGGGGAUGAGUCGUUGGUGACUACUUUAUGCUAUAUUAAUUGAAGUUAUGAAAAAGUGUCGUCUAGACUAUUCACAAAGGCUUUGCUGAUUUGAUUUAAGCAGAUGUCAUAUUUCGAAGUUUGGUUUUCAAUGAGUUUUACUGGUUUUAUUCUGCUGCACAAAUAAAUACAAGUAUUCGUUAAAUUUUAUUACAAGCAUUGCUAGUACUAGUGAAAUAUUUAUUCCCAGUUAACGGAAUUGGUCAAGUAAAUGCUAGUGAGAAAAGCGAAGUAAAUAAAAUGGAAUUCAGGACAAA
Molecule: long non-coding RNA, 476 nt
Organism: Bombyx mori (domestic silkworm)
Lineage: Eukaryota; Metazoa; Arthropoda; Insecta; Lepidoptera; Bombycidae
Exons: 2
Source: RefSeq, a predicted model, not a curated record